UACGAAGGUUGCAAGCGUUGUUCGGAAUCACUGGGCUUAAAGCGCAUAUAGGCGGACAGGAAAGCGUUUUGUGAAAUCCCUCGGCUUAACCGAGGAAUUGCUUGGCGAACUGCCUGUCUUGAGGCAAGUAGGGGUGCAUGGAACUCUUGGUGGAGCGGUGGAAUGCGUAGAUAUCAAGAGGAACGCCAAUGGUGAAAACAGUGCACUGGGCUUGUACUGACGCUGAGAUGCGAAAGCGUGGGGAGCAAACGGGACUAGAUACCCCGGUAGUCCACGCCCUAAACGAUGCCUACUAGGUCGUAGAACCUCUGACGGUUUUAUGGCCGAAGCAAAAGUGUUAAGUAGGCCGCCUGGGAAGUACGGUCGCAAGGCUAAA
RNAcentral lists this ribosomal RNA (376 nucleotides) under uncultured bacterium. RNAcentral's name for it is "bacterial SSU rRNA". It matches the Rfam family "Bacterial small subunit ribosomal RNA", at positions 524 to 898 of the family's 1533-position model. The record is from RNAcentral.